Molecule: long non-coding RNA, 560 nt
Organism: Cyprinus carpio carpio
Lineage: Eukaryota; Metazoa; Chordata; Actinopteri; Cypriniformes; Cyprinidae
Source: Ensembl
AAUAAUUUAGCCGCGGAGUGGUGUUUCUGAUCAGUGGAGCGAGGAGCGGGAAAUGGUGAACCCGGAGCAGAGCUGGAGCGGAGUUAUUAUUGAAUGCUUGGAGCGCGGAGGGAAAAUUGUUGCCGCUCCACUCCACUCAUAUUCUGGUGAUCUGUAAAUGGGACCUCCGCUAUUUAUGGGGCCAUGGUCAAAGUCUUCUGAGCCUUCUGUCAAAGGUCCCUCAUUAAAAGCCUCCGUGAACUCCAAGUUAGAGGGCUGGAGGCUUCCACACAACACCGCGUGGGUUUGCAAUCCUGUCAUUAAAGUGACAUUAGUUAUACAAAAACGCAAUCAAAUCACAAUGACUGGACAGCAUGACUGCGAGUGCAUAUGUGCGUUUGCACUGGAUUUAAUGCUAUUCUUUUUUCAUCACACAAUUACUAGACAGUAAAAUGUUUCAUUAUGGCUCAAUUACACCUCCUGCUGGGACUUUACGGGCUCUUUGUCACCUCAGACUGGAGAAAGCAGACUUUGCCAUCUUCAUCUCAUGCCAGACAUUCCCUGCCACUUUGCCUUACGAA